GGGGAGGUGGCUCAGAGGUUAAGAGCACUGACUGUUCUUCCAGAGGUCCUGAGUUCAAUUCCCAGCAACCACG
Molecule: transfer RNA, 73 nt
Filed under: Neotoma lepida (desert woodrat)
Lineage: Eukaryota; Metazoa; Chordata; Mammalia; Rodentia; Cricetidae
Rfam family: tRNA
About the family: Transfer RNA (tRNA) molecules are approximately 80 nucleotides in length. Their secondary structure includes four short double-helical elements and three loops (D, anti-codon, and T loops). Further hydrogen bonds mediate the characteristic L-shaped molecular structure. tRNAs have two regions of fundamental functional importance: the anti-codon, which is responsible for specific mRNA codon recognition, and the 3' end, to which the tRNAs corresponding amino acid is attached (by aminoacyl-tRNA synthetases). tRNAs cope with the degeneracy of the genetic code in two manners: having more than one tRNA (with a specific anti-codon) for a particular amino acid; and 'wobble' base-pairing, i.e. permitting non-standard base-pairing at the 3rd anti-codon position.
Source: Rfam by way of RNAcentral